RNAcentral lists this ribosomal RNA (684 nucleotides) under uncultured Bacteroidales bacterium. Its description in RNAcentral is "bacterial SSU rRNA". It matches the Rfam family "Bacterial small subunit ribosomal RNA", at positions 63 to 734 of the family's 1533-position model. Lineage: Bacteria; Pseudomonadati; Bacteroidota; Bacteroidia; Bacteroidales. The record is from RNAcentral.
CGAGGGGCAGCAUGGUCUUAGCUUGCUAAGGCUGAUGGCGACCGGCGCACGGGUGAGUAACACGUAUCCAACCUGCCGUCUACUCUUGGCCAGCCUUCUGAAAGGAAGAUUAAUCCAGGAUGGGAUCAUGAGUUCACAUGUCCGCAUGAUUAAAGGUAUUUUCCGGUAGACGAUGGGGAUGCGUUCCAUUAGAUAGUAGGCGGGGUAACGGCCCACCUAGUCAACGAUGGAUAGGGGUUCUGAGAGGAAGGUCCCCCACAUUGGAACUGAGACACGGUCCAAACUCCUACGGGAGGCAGCAGUGAGGAAUAUUGGUCAAUGGGCGAUAGCCUGAACCAGCCAAGUAGCGUGAAGGAUGACUGCCCUAUGGGUUGUAAACUUCUUUUAUAAAGGAAUAAAGUCGGGUAUGCAUACCCGUUUGCAUGUACUUUAUGAAUAAGGAUCGGCUAACUCCGUGCCAGCAGCCGCGGUAAUACGGAGGAUCCGAGCGUUAUCCGGAUUUAUUGGGUUUAAAGGGAGCGUAGAUGGAUGUUUAAGUCAGUUGUGAAAGUUUGCGGCUCAACCGUAAAAUUGCAGUUGAUACUGGAUGUCUUGAGUGCAGUUGAGGCAGGCGGAAUUCGUGGUGUAGCGGUGAAAUGCUUAGAUAUCACGAAGAACUCCGAUUGCGAAGGCAGCCUGCUAAGC